This 465-nucleotide ribosomal RNA is filed under the name Lymantria fergusoni. Its description in RNAcentral is "partial large subunit ribosomal RNA". Lineage: Eukaryota; Metazoa; Arthropoda; Insecta; Lepidoptera; Erebidae. The record is from RNAcentral.
UGCCCACUGAUUAAAUAUUUUAUAUUAAAGGGCUGCAGUAUUUUGACUGUACAAAGGUAGCAUAAUCAUUAGUCAUUUAAUUGGUGACUUGUAUGAAAGAUUGGAUGAAAUAUAAACUGUCUUUUAGAUAAAUUUAGAAUUUAAUUUUUGAGUUAAAAAGCUUAAAUAGAUUAAAAAGACGAGAAGACCCUAUAGAGUUUUAUUUUUAGUUAAAAUUAAAAUUUUUAUUAGUUUUAUUAAUUUGAUUAUAAUAAAAAAUUUUAUUGGGGUGAUAGAAAAAUUUAAUAAACUUUUUUUUUUUUUUACAUAAAUAAGUGGGUUAUUGAUCCAAUUUUAUUGAUUAUAAGAAAAAAUUACCUUAGGGAUAACAGCGUAAUUUUAUUUUUUAGUUCAAAUAGGAAAUAAAGUUUGCGACCUCGAUGUUGGAUUAAGAUAAAAUUUAAAUGCAGAAGUUUAAAAUUUUGA